UCUGUGCUGCAGAAGAGCAAGUUUAGGAUUACAUGUGAAGGAACUUGCUCAAAACCACAAAGUGAUUAUGAGGCAGAACUGAGAACUCAACUUGGGGGUGGUGUGUGUGGCACCAAGGCACCCGGUUCCAUGUAACAUGGCUAGAAAUGCUGCAACUGACUGGUUUGUUGAAGCUGGAUUUUGAACGCCCUCUAAGAGUGAACACCAGAAAAUUCCAAAUUUAUCAGGACCUCAAGCACAUCAAGACACCAGACGACUUGGAGGGCUCCUAUUUACAGCAAACUGCCUCUAAUAACAAUCUCACUCAGUAUGUACGACAGAAAACGGAGCUUACAAAUUUCAUACAAGGGCUACUUAAAGUGUGGUCUCUAAACCUGGUACCAGUCUGCAAAUGGUUAGGAGUCCAGAAUAUUUUCUACAUCACUAAGUACAGUGCUCAGUUCGGCUAACUUGUUUUUUCAUCGCAAGAUACUCUUGAUGAAGGAGGCUGGAUUGAUUUAUUCUAGCCCAACCUUCUUAUCCAUCAUGAACUGGUAACAGUUUGUGAGCCACAAAAGACCCCGAAUAGCCAAAGCACCCUUGAAAAGGAAAAACAAAGCUGCAUCACAAUUCUGGGUUUCAAAUUACAGUACAAAGCUGUAGUAACUAAAAUAGUAUGGUACUGGCACAAAAACAGACACAUAGAUCAAUGGAAUAGAACAGAAAACC
Herpailurus yagouaroundi (jaguarundi) is the source of this 708-nucleotide long non-coding RNA. RefSeq lists it as uncharacterized. Lineage: Eukaryota; Metazoa; Chordata; Mammalia; Carnivora; Felidae. The transcript has 2 exons. The record is from RefSeq and is a predicted model, not a curated record.